UGGAAUGAAUGCUGGAGGUUCAACCAUUACUUUUGACAUCUCAAAAGCAAGAUGUCAAAUGAAUAUUUUAUUAUUUUUUAAAGACAGCUAGCUGUUACUUUCAUUUAUUAUUUUUCUUUUUUAUUAUUUUCUUCUUUAUCUUAAAUGAUUUGACUGUUACAAUAAUUAUUUAUUUGACAUAUUGAGUGGAGUGUAAAAAUGUGUAAAUGUCAAAUUGUCACAUUAGCCAUCAAAUGUAAAUUUGAUGUUUGGUAUUUGACAUCUCC
Molecule: long non-coding RNA, 266 nt
Filed under: Prunus persica (peach)
Lineage: Eukaryota; Viridiplantae; Streptophyta; Magnoliopsida; Rosales; Rosaceae
Description: long non-coding RNA (PPER_LNC006505)
Source: RNAcentral